Molecule: long non-coding RNA, 4851 nt
Filed under: Oryza sativa (Asian cultivated rice)
Lineage: Eukaryota; Viridiplantae; Streptophyta; Magnoliopsida; Poales; Poaceae
Description: long non-coding RNA (OSAT_LNC000828)
Source: RNAcentral
UCCCAGCCGUGCAGGCGCAACCGCGCCUGCCGGAGGUGCGCCGGCGGCGCCGCGUAGUGCACGUCCAGCCCCCGCGACGCGAGCAGCAGAGACAGGUGCAUGAGCUGGUUCAGGUGGCCCUGCGCCGGGAAGGGCACCGCGACGACGGCCACCGAUUCCACCGUGCCAAUCGCCAUCGAGUGCUCUUGUCACUGGUUGCUUGUUUAUGCUUGUCUAUUUCUAGGAUUUUUAAUGCCCCGUAGCCUAUACACUUUUACAGGUUAUAUAUAGAGUUAUAGGCACACACGCACGAACAGUCGAAGACAAAUAUGUGGGGAAAAAGUUACAUCAGUAGCUUCCAAUUCCCAUUGCUGAUAUCGCGCAGAUCCAGAGCAUCAGAGAUUCGAGGGCUGACACGGACGCACAUCUGUUCCCGCCCCCUCGCGCUCAUCCGCCCUUCCUAGAAUGCUCGUCAGCAACAACGGCGCUUCCAGCCGCUGGCUCAAUCAUUGUCAGAGACUGCAGGAGCGUGGCGCGCUCGUCAUCAGUGACGACUAACGACGGCGUCGGCGGGCCGAUCGCUUGUAUCGCGGCCUCUCCAAAACGGUACGUACCGCCCUGUUGCGGCUCUGCGAUGAUAUCGUUUUGUAUACCAUUUUGGCAUGUGCUCUGUAUCUCGAUUCUCGAGGCAGAGAAGUUGUUGGUUGGUUCCAGGGAAUCUUACUGUUUAAAUUGUACUACGACUAAUGCACUGUUGUCAUGUGAUGUUUUAGUUCACUAAUAGUAUAUGCACUUUUGGUGCAUUAGUUAAACUUGCAGCAAAUUCAUGUGUGGAACUGUGGAUCGACGACCAGGGCGUCGCACAUCGCACAUCAGGCUGAUUGGAUACUACAGUACUACUCCCGUGCGAUGAGGCUCUUGGACCAGACCGGCCUCCUUCUUCGUUACGUACGUUACGCGAAGAUGCCAUCGUCCGGCAGUCGGCAGAGUCCCAGAGAUUACUACAUAGCCGUUCUCACCGUGUGGUUUGUUUCUUCCUCCCUCGCGCGCAUGCAGCAAACGCGAAGAAUCUACCGCACGGUCCGCACCGCGUUUAAUUUUCUGCAUGGUCGUCGCCGUCCUUGCUGCGGACCCUUGCCUCUGCGUCGUUGUCCAAAUUGGGUGCCACGAAAAAAAGGCCCAACUGGCUGAUCACCACUUGCCAAUUGUAGGUCGAGCGCCGGCAGGCAAGUUGCUCGACUGCUGCACUUGCCAACUUGCAUUUAUUGUACUUACUCCUAUCCUACAAAAUGUAUGUCGUUAUAGCAGUAGGGGUAAAACGAUUAUAUAAAACGAAAAACGAGAUAAGUUAUUAACGGAUGAUUAGGGUUCAAUUCAUUUUCUAACUGAAGAUUAUUACUGGUACGUAAAAUGAGAUAAGUUAUUAAUGGAUGAUUAAUUAAAUAUAAACUAUUAUAAAUUAUAAAAAAAUAUAUAAAUAUACCUAUUGUUUAACCGUUCAUUAAGAAUGUUAAUUGAAAAUAAGGAAAAGUCAAAACAGAGAUGUUGAAACGAACUCAACCUUACAAAAUGUAACAAAUGCUGUACUAUUUUAUGGGGGUUGCUAUAUGUUUUUUCGAUUUUUUUUUUGCGCUCUCCCCAUUUGCUGGCGCGUUUUCCUUUUCUCGAUCUUUUAAUCUUUAGCGAGUGUUUUUUUAUUUUUAAUGUAUUUUACAAUUUAGAUAUUUUAUCUCAACUUUCAAAACAUUCUAUUUAAAACUUUCAACUUAAAAUUCAAAACUUAAAUAAAUCUUGAGUUGAAAGUUUUUAAAUCUUAACUCGAAAGUUUAAAUUUUGAGUCAAAAAUUUUCAAAAUUUGACUUGAAAGUUCAAAUUUUGAGUUGAAAGUUUUAAAAAUUUGAGUUGAAAGUUUUAAAAAUAUGAAAUGUAAGUUUAUAUACAUGUAUGUAUGUAUGUGUGUGUAUUAGUAGUGCUAUUUGUAGUAUAGUAGUAGUACUACUACCACCACCACCUAGCAGCAGCAACAGCAAUGCUAGUAGUUCUAGCUGCGCGUGGGGCCCACUAGUAGCAGCAGAAGCGCUAGUAGGCGCUAGUAAUAACAGUAGUAAUCUCUUCAUGUUGUAAGACUUUCAAGCAUUGUUUAUAUUCAUUUAGAAGUUAUGUGUCUAGAUUUAUUAACAUCUAUAUGAAUAUGGGUAAUGCUAGAAAGUCUUACAGAGGAAGUAGUAGACUGGUACUCUAGUAGUAGUACUAGUAGACUAGUAGUAGUAGUAGGAGCGAACUGUUCAUGUGCCCACACCCUGCGCGACCAGUCGCGCAUUAGCCCCCCCCCGGAAAACUUGUCUGUCGGCCUGUACACGGGCCACGUGUGGAGGGGAGGAAAGGAAUAAGUUCACCAGCCGUCCCUUAAGCUUUAUGUCGAGUUUGUAUAACAUCCCUAAUCCUUAAUACUAGAAAUUUUCACUCCUAAACUAUAUAAAACCGUGCAAUUUAUAUCUUAUAGCAGUACUGAUCUCUAGUUUCACUUACGUGGCAUCCUAGUAACAAAAAAAAAAAUUAUAGGACCCAUAUGUAAGAGAGAAGAAGAAAAUGUAGGGUCCACAUCUCUUAUUUUUUCUCUUUUCUCUUUUCUUUUCUACUCUCUCUUAUCUUCUUCAGCGAGCCUGGGAGGCCGUCGGUGGCAAAGGGGGGAGAGGUGGUUCAACGGUUCUGGGAGAGAGGGGGAGGUGUCCGGUGAGCCCGUCCGAGCUCUGCCACCGCCUUGAGCUCCAUGCGAAGGGAGGAGGGAACGGGGUAGAUGUAGAGAUUGACGAAAAUCUUGGCAUGGUAGACGCUGGACAGGGUGGCAGGUGAGGAUGACAUGUGGGCCCGCAUAUUUUGUUUUAAUUUUUUAGUUUCUAGUUUUGCUCCUAAUGCCACAUCAGCCACUGCGGACUUACCAUGCAUCGAGGGACCUUGUUUGAAUGAUUUUGAAAGUUGGGGGCCUCGUUUGCAUGAUUCAUGGACGAUUUUGAAACUCAACGACAAAGCGAGAGACCUCGAGUGAACUUUUUCUUUUCACCAUGGUAGAGCAAUGUGAGCCCAUUAGAAUAUGCUGGGCCUGUUGGCCCGUCCGGCAUACAUCUAAGCACCUGUAGGUUUUUGUUUAGAAAAAGAAAAAGAUAAGACCAAAUAUUUCGUUUCAAUCACCUUAUAUCAAAUUUUAAAUUGUUAAAAUCCCCUCAUAGCACUUGAUUGUCUGAAGAUGAUUUGAAUUUCCAUACAAUGGAAUCAGUAUUUCAGAAAUGGCUACUGCAUACAGAAUUUGAAUCCGGGAAAUGCUUAUUUGAGAAUGGAGGGAGUGGUACACAUAUUUUCCUACUUAGGCCAUUUUUUAAAAUUUGAUAUGUUUCGACGUAAGAUUAAUAUUUAUAGCAUAUCCGACCACUCGAAGAAUCACAGGAUAUUCCUGCUUCAUCUUGUGAUGUAGCCAACGAAGUCAUCCAGGUCUUUCCGCGAGGACCCGCCGUCUGCCACGGACGCGCGGACGACUUCGCCGAGCUCCAUUGCCCGCCGCCGUAUUGCCAUCCCUUUCUCAGGCAGCAUCGCCUCUUCGAUGACCUCUUGGAUGGCCUCCGCCGGGACCACCUCGCUGUGCUUCUCCAAUGGUCUCACGAGCAGACCAGCCUUGAGGUAUUUGCACACCAGCUCUGCGUCCCAUGGCUGGUCGGAGUGCAUGGGCCACGCAAGAAUCGGCUUCCCAUGGCUCAGGCUCUCCAUCGUCGAGUUCCAGCCACAGUGGCUCAUGAACGCCGCAGUGGCGCCGUGCGCGAGGAUCUCCAGCUGCGGCGCCCACCCGGUGAUCACCAGCCCCACUCCCUCGGUUUCUGCGGUGAACCGGGACAGCAGCUCCGCGUGCCGGCUCUCGCCGGAGUCGGCGAAUAUGUCGGCGCGGUCGGCGUCGCGAAGCACCCAGAUGAACCUCUGCUUGCUGCCCUUCAGCGCCGCGGCGAGCUCCGCGACUUGAUCGCCACGGAGGGACGACGUUGUGCCGAAUGACACGUAGAGGACGGACGCCGCCGGCUGCUUGUCGAGCCAGUCCAUGCACUCGUGCCGCGUCUGGCCUGGCGUCCGGGCGGUCGCGUCGAGCAGUGGGUUCAGUGGACCGACCGCGAAAAGCUUCAUCUCUUUGAACAUCGGGUGCGCGGCGAUCUCGUCGAUGAACUCGGCCUCGAUCGCCCGGGACGUGUUCAUGAGCAUGCCGGAGCUGGUCGCGUUCUCUUCGUCCUGCUCUUCCCGGCUGAUGAACUCCACGAAUUCCUUUGGCAUGCAGGCCUCCACGGGGUGGAACUUGAGGCCGUGCUCGCGUACGAGCCGGUUCUCGGGGUCCAACCACCCGAUGUUGUACGACAUGGCCACGCACUGCAGCCCGAACGCCUCGCCGUUCGGCAGACGCGCCGCCUGGGCGGCGGCGAAGGAGUUCAACCGGUCGUACACGACAACCACGCGGCUAUAGCUGGCCGAGAUCCUCUCGAGCAGCGCGGCGAACGGGGCGCGCGCCGCGACGGCGAAGCUCUGGAUCAUGGGCAUCAUGUGGGACGGGAACGGCGGGGCGGUCGGGUCGGGCGGCGGGGACUCGUAGGCGGGGACGUCGAGGUCGUGGAAGCGGAUGGAGCGGAGCGCGUCGGGGUCCCAGCCGUGCAGGCGCGACCGCGCCUGCCGGAGGUGCGCCGGCGGCGCCGCGUAGUGCACGUCCAGCCCACGCGACGCGAGCAGCAGGGACAGGUGCAUGAGCUGGUUCAGGUGGCCCUGCGCCGGGAAGGGCACCGCGACAACGGCCACGGAUUCCACCGAGCCAAUCGCCAUUGAGCGCUUAUGUCGUCACUGAUAUAU